GACGAACGCUGGCGGCGUGCUUAACACAUGCGAGUCGAACGGAAAGGCCUGCUUUCCCUUGUGGAUUGCGGGUACUCGAGUGGCGAACGGGUGAGUAACACGUGAGUGAUCUGCCCCCAACUUGGGUAUAAGCCUGGGAAACUGGGUCUAAUUCCCGAUAGGACUGCAGGGUGGUGCCUGUGGUGGAAAACGAUUUUCUAGUGGUUGGGGAUGAGCUCGCGGCCUAUCAGCUUGUUGGUGGGGUAAUGGCCUACCAAGGCGGCGACGGGUAGCCGGCCUGGGAGGGUGGACGGGCACAUUGGGACUGGGAUACGGCCCAGACUCCGACGGGAGGCAGCAGUGGGGAAUAUUGCACAAUGGGCGGAAGCCUGAUGCAGCGGCGCCGCGUGGGGAUGACGGCCUUCGGGUUGUAAACUCCUUUCGACCGCGAGGAAGCCACCUGGUUGGAAGGGUGGUGACGGUAGUGGUAGAAGAAGCACCGGCUAACUACGUG
Molecule: ribosomal RNA, 493 nt
Filed under: uncultured bacterium
Lineage: Bacteria
Description: partial 16S ribosomal RNA
Rfam family: Bacterial small subunit ribosomal RNA
Source: RNAcentral